CGGGAGUUCAGGGAGCGCUGCGGACUGCAGGACAUUUAAACUGCUCGAGGACGUUCUUUUCCUACCUCUGCAUUUGAUUUAUAGAAAUGCAUGCUGCACCAUCCAGGUGCAUCCAAGGGAGAAUCAGAAGUGAAGGAACUGUCACAGACUCAGUCUUGCACAAACCAUUGCAAUCUCUAUUCUGCACUGUCCUUCAGUUUCCUGAGGAAGCAAAAAUUCCUCAGGAUUGAAGAGCAUGACCAUGCA
RNAcentral lists this long non-coding RNA (246 nucleotides) under Gallus gallus (chicken). Its description in RNAcentral is "long non-coding RNA NONGGAT005043". Lineage: Eukaryota; Metazoa; Chordata; Aves; Galliformes; Phasianidae. The record is from RNAcentral.